AGUGAACGCUGGCGGUAGGCCUAACACAUGCAAGUCGAACGGCAGCACAGUAAGAGCUUGCUCUUACGGGUGGCGAGUGGCGGACGGGUGAGGAAUACAUCGGAAUCUACUUUUUCGUGGGGGAUCACGUAGGGAAACUUACGCUAAUACCGCAUACGACCUACGGUUGAAAGCAGGGGAUCUUCGGACCUUGCGCGAUUGAAUGAGCCGAUGUCGGAUUAGCUAGUUGGCGGGGUAAAGGCCCACCAAGGCGACGAUCCGUAGCUGGUCUGAGAGGAUGAUCAGCCACACUGGAACUGAGACACGGUCAAGACUCCUACGGGAGGCAGCAGUGGGGAAUAUUGGACAAUGGGCGCAAGCCUGAUCCAGCCAUACCGCGUGGGUGAAGAAGGCCUUCGGGUUGUAAAGCCCUUUUGUUGGGAAAGAAAAGCAGCAGGUUAAUACCCCGCUGUUCUGACGGUACCCAAAGAAUAAGCACCGGCUAACUUCGUG
This 492-nucleotide ribosomal RNA is filed under the name uncultured bacterium. RNAcentral describes it as "partial 16S ribosomal RNA". It matches the Rfam family "Bacterial small subunit ribosomal RNA", at positions 29 to 507 of the family's 1533-position model. The record is from RNAcentral.